CUGCAACCCAUCAUUUUGAAAACACUAUCCAAGAAAGUAAUGGUUGUUUUUUGUUUGUUUGUUUUUUUGAGAUGGAGUUUCACUCGUGUUGCCUAGGCUGGAGUACAAUGGUGUGAUCUUAGCUCACUGCAACCUCCACCUCCCAAGUUCAAGCAAUUCUGCCUCAGCCUCCUGAGUAGCUGGGAUUACAGACUCCCACCACCAUGCCCGGCUAAUUUUUGUAUUUUUAGUAGAGAUGGGGUUUCACUGUGUUGGGCAGGCUGGUCUCAAACUCCUGACCUCAGGUAAUCCACCCACCUAGACCUCCCAAAAUGCUGGAAUUACAGGCGUGAGCCACCAUGCCCGGCCAUGGUUGGUUUUUUUGAGACCACUUUAUAUUUAGGCCAAAUAGGUAUGUGUGUGAUGGGGGUGGAGAGGAUGACAAGUAGAAUGAAGGAGUGAUGUUUCACUUUGCCAGACUUUAAAUUAAUUACAUUGCAUGGAGCUCUAUUAUGCAAUACUCUCUCCAUACUGCUGAAAAAAAUAAUCUGCAACUUACAAUUUGAUCCUUGAGUUACCAACCAGUAACACUUGUUCUUUACACCCUUUCUCAUUCCCUAAGUCAUUAGAAAGCACCAGUUCUAACUCCAAAUGAUGACAUGGUCUUAUUUUAUCUAUUAACCAUAAGCUUACAGAUUCUAGUGAAGAAAAAACUUUAGGAGGCUACAUGGUCUAUUGGAGAGUGUAGGCUCUGCAGUCAGAAGAUCCCUACCCAGGCUUCUGUCUUUCUCAGUAAGACUUGGGACCACAGCAAGGUCCGCAAUCUCCUGAGGCUCUGUUUUCUAUGGUUGGGAUAACAUGAAGGAGUAACAGCAGCAAACAGUAGGAGAGAAGAUGCCAAGUUAGAAGUGCAUAUAGCUCUCUUCCACAGGAGGCCUACAUGCCGCCACUUGUGCUGCCGCCAUGUCUCUAGUGAUCCCUGAAAAGUCCCAGCAUAUUUUGCCGAGUAGUCAACACCAACAUUGAUGGGUGGCGGAAAAUGGCCUUUGCCAUCACUGCCGUUAAGGGUGUGGGCCGAAGAUAUGCUCAUGUGGUGUUGAGGAAAGCAGACACUGACCUCACCAAGAGGGCGGGAGAACUCACUGAGGAUGAGGUGGAACAUGUGAUCACCAUUAUGCAGAAUCCACACUAGUACAAGAUGCCAGCCUGGUUCUUGAACAGACAGAAGGAUGUAAAGGAUGGAAAAUAUAGCCAGGUCCUAGCCAAUGGUCUGGACAACAAGCUCUGUGAAGACCUGGAGCGACUGAAAAAGAUUCGGGCCCGUAGAGGGCUGCGUCACUUCUGGGGCCUUCGUGUCCGAGGCCAGCACACCAAGACCACAGGCUGCCGUGGCCGCAUCGUGGGUGUGUCUAAGAAGAAAGAGGUAAAGAAUCAUUAGAGCUGUCUCAAACAUUCACCAUUUCAAACAGAAGACGAACAAGCUUCUCAGAUUCUCCUCUGUAUUUGGAAGUCAAAGUUGAUGAAGAGACAUUGAAGAAUGUUGUCUUGCAUUCUGUAGCUACUGCUUUAGCAAGGAGCGUCUUCCCCGUGCCAGGUGGGCCGACCAUCAGUACUCCCUGUUGCGAAUAUAAUAGCCUCAGCAGAGGAUUUAUCUGCCAUUGUUCUAAUUCAUAAAAGUGUCAUUACUAAGUAGCAAAUUUCGACCAACUUAUAUAUAAUAUCAAGACAAAUAAAAGACAAAC
This is a long non-coding RNA of Homo sapiens (human), 1721 nucleotides long. Lineage: Eukaryota; Metazoa; Chordata; Mammalia; Primates; Hominidae. The record is from Ensembl.